UUUAAAAUCUGGACCAAAAAAUCCCAAGCAGAUGCUCUGCUAGUUCUACAAAGGAGAUUUAACAUAACCUUACACCAUCAGCAGAGAAUUCCCGUGUUACAGGCGUAGCGCUGUCACAGCCACCGUCAUGCCAUCUAAUCCCCUCCUGGCAGAAGCAUCACUGGGGCUGCUGGAGCAGAUCAGGAGCAGGGAACUCUGGCUUUCCCCACCAAAAAAGGAGUUCCUCUCUUUUUCCAGCCUCCUGCCAAGCUUCCUCAAACUGGAGAAGGUGGGAGCAAAAGGAGAGGAAAACUAUGCACAGGAAGGAUACAAGAAAAGGAGCAAAUCCAAGAA
This is a long non-coding RNA of Pipra filicauda (Wire-tailed manakin), 333 nucleotides long. RefSeq lists it as uncharacterized. The record is from RefSeq and is a predicted model, not a curated record. Lineage: Eukaryota; Metazoa; Chordata; Aves; Passeriformes; Pipridae. The transcript is spliced from 2 exons.